Molecule: long non-coding RNA, 510 nt
Filed under: Anas platyrhynchos (mallard)
Lineage: Eukaryota; Metazoa; Chordata; Aves; Anseriformes; Anatidae
Description: lncRNA (ENSAPLG00020016841.1)
Source: RNAcentral
GGAAAAGAAGCCAAAUGCUUCAAUGUCUAAAGAUUUCCUGACUUACUGCUUUUGAAUGAUGAUGGCAUUUGAGGCCAGCAGAAACUGUAGAUGAAGAGGAAAAUGCAGAAGAGGAAGAUGACAGGGAAGAGGAGGAGGCAUAUAAACUAAAGGAAGAAUAUCCAGAAAUGAAUGGAGAGGAAAGCAGGGAAAUUGUUAAAAAAAGAAAUAAAGUGGAAGAAAAUGAGAAGAAAUUAAAUGGGAAUUAUAAACACAAUGCAGAAGAAACAGAGAAUGUUGACCAACCAGAGGAAGAGGAACUCACCCAUUUAAAUUCCAAGAUAAAUGAGGAAAAUAGUGAGGGAAUUGAGCAGUUGAACAGCCAAGGUAAUUUGCAGUCUAAAGAGGACAUAAAAGAAAAGGAGUAUUUUGACAGUCAGAAACAGGUUGAUUCCCAUAUCGAGAAAACAUCCACAAAUCCAAGGGUGACAAUCACCAGCCCACAGGAAAAUGGAAAAAAAGGACCAGAAC